UCCGCCCGCUCCGCCCCUUCCACCCGGAAGGAGCCCUCGGCUUCUUUCACCCGGUUUCAUUUUCAGUUUAGGCCAGCAGUCCCCAACUUUUUUGCACCAGGAACCGGUUUUGUGACUGUUAAGGAACACAGUCUCUCGUAAUGGAGGGGGGAGAUGAUCCCUGAAACGACUGAUCAGCGGUUCCCUUUGACCCCGGCAGCUGUCUUGUGCACCACGACUUUCUCUCUCAAGCCCUUGUUCUUUGCCUGAGAACAUCCUUGGAGGCCUGAUUCCGGUAUUUCUAAGUCAUUCACCCUCUACCCAGGUCAGGAACAGCAGUCUGUGUUCUCCUUCUUAGAGACUUGGAGCCUCCUACCACAGGCUCUCACCCUGAUUUUAGAACUUUCCAAGGAGUAGAUUAUCCCAGAUUCCCCAGUCCAGGCUGAUGUCUGGGGUUUCUGCUUCCUCCUUCUAAACCAAUUGUCCUGUCCAUUCUCAGGAUGGGCAUGAGUGCUGCUUCAGUGGCCUGUGAAGGUCGCCCAAAGUGGGAAUUUUCUGAGUCUUCCUCCUCAGUAUCCCCAAAGAUGCAUGCAGCCCACCACCUCAUCUCUGCCCAUGAGGUCAUCCUGAGGUGCUGGGCCCUGGGCUUCUACCCUGCAGAUAUCGCUCUGAUCUGGCAGUGUGACAGGAAGGUCCAGAGCCAGGACAUGGAACUUGCGGAGACAAGGGCUUUCCAGAAGACGGUGGCCAUGGGCAUGCCUUCAGGAGAGGAGCUGAGAUACAUCCGCUUACUGCAACAAGCCCAUCACCCUGAGAUGGUAUAAGGAGGGGGCUCAGAGGUGGAGCUUCUCAGAGAAAGCAGAAGCCCUUCUGGACACCUUCAGCAAGGCAGUGAAAAUGGUCAGUGCUCUGAUGUGUCUUUCACGGAUCCUAAAGCUGGUAUCUGAAUGUGUCUGUGUUCCUAUAAGCAUAACGUGAGGAGGUAGGGAGACUGGCCCACCCCUGCCCACCAGGACCCCCUCUCCACAUGACCUGUGUUCUCUUCCCUGGUCAGCUUUCCUGUACCAUCAGAGGCAGGGCUGGGCCAUCUCCAUCCCUGA
Long non-coding RNA from Balaenoptera acutorostrata (minke whale), 1079 nucleotides. RefSeq lists it as uncharacterized. NCBI's taxonomy places the organism in Eukaryota, Metazoa, Chordata, Mammalia, Artiodactyla, Balaenopteridae. The transcript is spliced from 4 exons. The record is from RefSeq and is a predicted model, not a curated record.